This 476-nucleotide ribosomal RNA is filed under the name uncultured organism. RNAcentral's name for it is "partial 16S ribosomal RNA". It matches the Rfam family "Bacterial small subunit ribosomal RNA", at positions 334 to 801 of the family's 1533-position model. The record is from RNAcentral.
CACUCCUGCGGGAGGCAGCAGUGGGGAAUUUUGGACAAUGGGCGAAAGCCUGAUCCAGCAAUGCCGCGUGUGUGAAGAAGGCCUUCGGGUUGUAAAGCACUUUUGUCCGGAAAGAAAUCCUUGGCUCUAAUACAGUCGGGGGAUGACGGUACCGGAAGAAUAAGCACCGGCUAACUACGUGCCAGCAGCCGCGGUAAUACGUAGGGUGCGAGCGUUAAUCGGAAUUACUGGGCGUAAAGCGUGCGCAGGCGGUUUGCUAAGACCGAUGUGAAAUCCCCGGGCUCAACCUGGGAACUGCAUUGGUGACUGGCAGGCUAGAGUAUGGCAGAGGGGGGUAGAAUUCCACGUGUAGCAGUGAAAUGCGUAGAGAUGUGGAGGAAUACCGAUGGCGAAGGCAGCCCCCUGGGCCAAUACUGACGCUCAUGCACGAAAGCGUGGGGAGCAAACAGGAUUAGAUACCCCUGUAGUCCCAUGAU